This 253-nucleotide ribosomal RNA is filed under the name uncultured bacterium. RNAcentral's name for it is "partial 16S ribosomal RNA". It matches the Rfam family "Bacterial small subunit ribosomal RNA", at positions 524 to 776 of the family's 1533-position model. The record is from RNAcentral.
UACGGAGGGUGCAAACGUUGCUCGGAAUCAUUGGGCGUAAAGCGCACGUAGGCGGCUCGUUAAGUCGGAUGUGAAAGCCCUCGGCUCAACCGUGGAAGUGCAUACGAAACUGGCGAGCUUGAAUAUGGAAGAGGGUCGCGGAAUUCCCGGUGUAGAGGUGAAAUUCGUAGAUAUCGGGAGGAACACCAGUGGCGAAGGCGGCGACCUGGGCCAAUAUUGACGCUGAGGUGCGAAAGCGUGGGGAGCAAACAGG